This 450-nucleotide ribosomal RNA is filed under the name uncultured bacterium. Its description in RNAcentral is "partial 16S ribosomal RNA". It matches the Rfam family "Bacterial small subunit ribosomal RNA", at positions 354 to 796 of the family's 1533-position model. The record is from RNAcentral.
GUGGGGAAUUUUGGACAAUGGGCGCAAGCCUGAUCCAGCAAUGCCGCGUGUGUGAAGAAGGCCUUCGGGUUGUAAAGCACUUUUGGCAGGAAAGAAAUAGUGCGUGCUAAUACCAUGCGCGAAUGACGGUACCUGCAGAAUAAGCACCGGCUAACUACGUGCCAGCAGCCGCGGUAAGACGUAGGGUGCAAGCGUUAAUCGGAAUUACUGGGCGUAAAGCGUGCGCAGGCGGGUUUGUAAGACAGGUGCGAAAUCCCCGGGCUCAACCUGGGAACUGCACUUGUGACUGCAAGGCUAGAGUGUGUCAGAGGGAGGUGGAAUUCCGCGUGUAGCAGUGAAAUGCGUAGAGAUGCGGAGGAACACCGAUGGCGAAGGCAGCCUCCUGGGAUAACACUGACGCUCAGGCACGAAAGCGUGGGGAGCAAACAGGAUUAGAAACCCCUGUAGUCC